CAGUUCGGAUUGUAGGCUGAAACUCGCCUACAUGAAGCUGGAGUUACUAGUAAUCGCAGAUCAGAAUGCUGCGGUGAAUGCGUUCCCGGGUCUUGUACACACCGCCCGUCACACCACGGAAGUUGGGGGCGCCCGAAGCCACUUAGCUAACCCUUUUGGGAAGCGAGUGUCGAAGGUGAAAUCAAUAACUGGGGUGAAGUCGUAACAAGGUACC
This 214-nucleotide ribosomal RNA is filed under the name uncultured bacterium. RNAcentral's name for it is "partial 16S ribosomal RNA". It matches the Rfam family "Bacterial small subunit ribosomal RNA", at positions 1289 to 1500 of the family's 1533-position model. The record is from RNAcentral.